Molecule: ribosomal RNA, 662 nt
Filed under: uncultured Gammaproteobacteria bacterium
Lineage: Bacteria; Pseudomonadati; Pseudomonadota; Gammaproteobacteria
Description: bacterial SSU rRNA
Rfam family: Bacterial small subunit ribosomal RNA
Source: RNAcentral
GGCGGUAUGCUUAACACAUGCAAGUCGAACGGUAACAGGCUUUCGGGCGCUGACGAGUGGCGGACGGGUGAGUAACGCGUAGGAAUCUGCCUCAUAGUGGGGGACAACGUGGGGAAACUCACGCUAAUACCGCAUACGCCCUACGGGGGAAAGGAGGGGAUCUUCGGACCUUUCGCUAUGAGAUGAGCCUGCGUUAGAUUAGCUAGUUGGUAGGGUAAAGGCCUACCAAGGCGACGAUCUAUAGCUGGUCUGAGAGGACGAUCAGCCACACUGGGACUGAGACACGGCCCAGACUCCUAAGGGAGGCAGCAGUGGGGAAUAUUGGACAAUGGGCGAAAGCCUGAUCCAGCAAUACCGCGUGUGUGAAGAAGGCCUUAGGGUUGUAAAGCACUUUCAAUUGGGAGGAAAACCUAUCGGUCAAUACCCGGUAGCUUGACAUUACCUUUAGAAGAAGCACCGGCUAACUCCGUGCCAGCAGCCGCGGUAAUACGGAGGGUGCGAGCGUUAAUCGGAAUUACUGGGCGUAAAGCGUGCGUAGAGUGGAAAUUUUCAGGUGCUAGCGGUGAAAAUGCGUAGAUAUCUGAAAGGAGCACCGAGUGGACGAAGGCGAACUUCCUUGCUACUAGAAUCUGGACGCUUGAUGCUACGAAAGCGUGCGUAGC